CCUACGGGCGGCAGCAGUGAGGAAUAUUGGUCAAUGGGCGCGAGCCUGAACCAGCCAAGCAGCGUGAAGGAUGACUGCCCUACGGGUUGUAAACUUCUUUUAUAAAGGAAUAAAGUGAGGCACGUGUGACUUUUUGUAUGUACUUUAUGACUAAGGAUCGGCUAACUCCGUGCCAGCAGCCGCGGUAAUACGGAGGAUCCGAGCGUUAUCCGGAUUUAUUGGGUUUAAAGGGAGCGUAGAUGGGUUGUUAAGUCAGUUGUGAAAGUUUGCGGCUCAACCGUAAAAUUGCAAUUGAUACUGGCAGGCUUGAGUACAGUUGAGGUAGGCGGAAUUCGUGGUGUAGCGGUGAAAUGCUUAGAGAUCACGAAGAACUCCGAUUGCGAAGGCAGCUUACUAAACGGCCACUGACAUUGAUGCUCGAAAGUGUGGGUAUCAAACAGGAUUAGAUACCCUAGUAGUC
Molecule: ribosomal RNA, 460 nt
Filed under: uncultured bacterium
Lineage: Bacteria
Description: partial 16S ribosomal RNA
Rfam family: Bacterial small subunit ribosomal RNA
Source: RNAcentral